UUCCUCCAAAGGACAAGAUAUGUGGCCAGCAGACAAGGCACCAUUGCCCGAUCAUGAAAAUGUUUCUGUUGUUUAUGAGUUAAUCUGAACUGUUCACGAGUGAAAACACUAUUGGUCCUCUGUGUCUAGUUUUUCUCUCAUCUCUUCUCUCCUUUUCAAGACAGCCAGCUUUCCAAUGAAAUUCACAUCCUAGAUAAGACCCUUGCUGCACGGGUAAGAUAGCAGACAUCAAGGCUCAUGGAUGAUAGAAAGAAGCUAGCAGCCAAACAUGAGAAGAGGAGCCUGGGACUCAGCAAAGACAUAGCUGAGCACAGUGUCCACAUUUCUGUAUGGCAGCCAGCUGGGUGCUGAGGAGGAAACUAUCUUUAGGGGACCCUAAGGUGGAACUUAAGAAGGCAGACUGCCACACACAGCAUCUUAUUUGGAUGUGCCUGGAGUCUUGGAAACUUGACUACCCUAUAUUCUGCAAAUGGACACUGAGAACUUGUUUGGAGGUUCUGCAGGGAAGUACAGUUACUCAUACAUGUUCCUCUUCUCUCUGGGAAAGUCCUUCUAUUAAACCAAGCUAGCUAACAUGUUCCAAAAGAACACACAGAGAAUGAUGAAGUAGGAAGGGGAUUCUGCCUAGCCAGCCAGGUCAGCCUAUGAAUGCUUGCACUCAAUAGAGAGAGAGACAGGUGUGUUGCAUCCAGAUCACUCUCAUAUUUGAUAAUCUCUUAACUUGAUAUUAAAUGCAGUAUAAUGACAAAUAGACAAAAAACACAAUUAAAUGAAGUUAAAAAUAAACUCAAUCCAUUUGAAUGCCAAAGUGAAGUCAGAUUAUUGUAUUGAAUGUAAUAUAUAUAAAAGAUAGAACUGGGAAGGCUGUAGUCAUACAGUUGACAUACACCUCACAGAUGAGGAAACUUGAGGCAGAGAAAAUGAUAGGAAUUCAUGAACAUAUUUUAAACUUUCACACAAGCUGAGGCACACAAGAAGACUAAUUUGCCAGACCCCCCUUGAACCUGCCUGCUACUGAAUUCUAUUCAGUGCAUUGUAAGCAGAAAUUAUAUACAUAUUUGGGCACAUGGGUGGCUCAGUCAGUUGAGCGUCCAACUUGGGUCAGGUCAUGAACU
This is a long non-coding RNA of Felis catus (domestic cat), 1115 nucleotides long. RefSeq lists it as uncharacterized. The transcript is spliced from 3 exons. The record is from RefSeq and is a predicted model, not a curated record. NCBI's taxonomy places the organism in Eukaryota, Metazoa, Chordata, Mammalia, Carnivora, Felidae.